RNAcentral lists this ribosomal RNA (476 nucleotides) under Streptococcus salivarius. RNAcentral describes it as "bacterial SSU rRNA". It matches the Rfam family "Bacterial small subunit ribosomal RNA", at positions 47 to 505 of the family's 1533-position model. The record is from RNAcentral. Lineage: Bacteria; Bacillati; Bacillota; Bacilli; Lactobacillales; Streptococcaceae.
CCUAAUACAUGCAAGUAGAACGCUGAAGAGAGGAGCUUGCUCUUCUUGGAUGAGUUGCGAACGGGUGAGUAACGCGUAGGUAACCUGCCUUGUAGCGGGGGAUAACUAUUGGAAACGAUAGCUAAUACCGCAUAACAAUGGGUGACACAUGUCAUUUAUUUGAAAGGGGCAAUUGCUCCACUACAAGAUGGACCUGCGUUGUAUUAGCUAGUAGGUGAGGUAACGGCUCACCUAGGCGACGAUACAUAGCCGACCUGAGAGGGUGAUCGGCCACACUGGGACUGAGACACGGCCCAGACUCCUACGGGAGGCAGCAGUAGGGAAUCUUCGGCAAUGGGGGCAACCCUGACCGAGCAACGCCGCGUGAGUGAAGAAGGUUUUCGGAUCGUAAAGCUCUGUUGUAAGUCAAGAACGAGUGUGAGAGUGGAAAGUUCACACUGUGACGGUAGCUUACCAGAAAGGGACGGCUAACUACG